Molecule: long non-coding RNA, 259 nt
Filed under: Elaeis guineensis (African oil palm)
Lineage: Eukaryota; Viridiplantae; Streptophyta; Magnoliopsida; Arecales; Arecaceae
Description: long non-coding RNA (EGUI_LNC050366)
Source: RNAcentral
ACAGAAGGUCGACCGGCAGUGGAUGUCGGACGGCACUGGAGAGGUUCACCCACUGGAGGGGUUCGACUGUUGGAGCUCGUGCGUCGUAGGAGUUCGUCCGAAAUUUGUCCGCUACAGAAGUUUGAUCGGAGUCUGGUUCCCAUAGAAGUCCGGAUGGAGAUCAUUUAUUGAGGAAGCUCGACCGAAGUCUGCCUGCAAUAGAAGUCCGGAAGAAAUUCGUUCACAAGGAAAGCUUGGGUGGAGGCUUACAGUAGAAAUC